This 465-nucleotide ribosomal RNA is filed under the name uncultured bacterium. RNAcentral describes it as "partial 16S ribosomal RNA". It matches the Rfam family "Bacterial small subunit ribosomal RNA", at positions 28 to 507 of the family's 1533-position model. The record is from RNAcentral.
GACGAACGCUGGCGGCGUGCUUAACACAUGCAAGUCGAACGGAAAGGCCCCUUUGGGGGUACUCGAGUGGCGCACGGGUGAGUAACACGUCAGUAACCUGCCCUUGACUUCGGGAUAACUUCAGGAAACUGGGGCUAAUACCGGCUAGGAAUCCUUGCUGCAUGGUGGGGGUUGGAAAGCUUCGGCGGUUUUGGAUGGACUCGCGGCUUAUCAGCUUGUUGGUGGGGUAGUGGCUUACCUAGGCUUUGACGGGUAGCCGGCCUGAGAGGGCGACCGGCCACAUUGGGACUGAGAUACGGCCCAGACUCCUACGGGAGGCAGCAGUGGGGAAUAUUGCACAAUGGGCGGAAGCCUGAUGCAGCAACGCCGCGUGCGGGAUGACGGCCUUCGGGUUGUAAACCGCUUUCAGCAGGGGCGAAGCUUGUGGUGACGGUACCUGCAGAAGAAGCACCGGCUAACUACGUG